GUUUCAGUUUAACCAGCUGCUGCACCUCAGUCUGUAAUGGCUGCUUUAACAUCAGCUCCACUUGUGGUUUUGUUCGCAUGUUCAUGGAUCUUUGUUCUGUGUCAAGGGACACAGGAGCUGAAGGAGACAGUGAAGCCUGGAGAGACGCCACUCUUCAGUGUCGGGGUCACAGAGGUGUAACAUCACAGUGAUAAAGUGGAUCAGAACUGACCUGAAGUCAGAUGAUGGUUAUGUCUUCUUCUUCAGAGACGGCCGCUCAUAUGAAAUCUACCAGCAUGAAUCUUUUGUGGUCGAGUGGAGCUGAGAGAUCUGAAGGACGGAGACGCUUCUGUGAUUCUGAAGAACGUCAACAUCAACGACACUGGAACAUAUGAGUGUUGGUUAGACAGGAAAAUGCAUCUGAACUCACCGGCAUCGUCAGGCUGACAGUGACAGAUCCAGGUCACACAGCUGGACACAAGGAGGGAGGAGACAAGGAGGGAGGAGACAAGGAGGGAGGAACAAGGAGGAAGGAGACGGGGAGAGAAAUGUUCGACUGAAAGCCGGUCUGUCAGUUGGUGGGAUUCUUCUUGUUGGUGGUGUUGUUGUUGUUUUAGAAAGAAGAUCUUAACAAAAUAUAGAGAAUGCAAAGACAAUAACUCAGACCAACCUGCUGCUCCUGAAAAUGUGCCGAUGCAGGAAGCAGAGCCAGCAGAUGAGAAUUAAGACGUGUGAUGAAGAGAGGAUCCAGACUGAAGUCACUCUGGUUACUGUGGGGAGCAGUGAUUGGUCGUUACUCUCUGGCUGCUGAUUGGUGGACUGAACGUGCUGCUGGACAGAAGAAACACAUUCCUCCUGUAAAAUAAACCUGAGCUGUUGACACACGUCUGAUUUCACCUGGAGGCAGGUUAAUGCCAGAUGGGCUGACUGACCAGCAGCUCUGUGGGACAAACAAUAUGACCUGAUGCUGGAACAGCCAGCUGAUUGUUAUUACAGGAAGUGGUACAGACCGUCGGCACCUCCCCCCACCCCUUCAAGUGGAUCCAUCCAUCCAGGUAGAGUCAGAGGUCAAAUCAAAUUAAACGGGUAAAGGACCAAAAGAGAGAAAAGUUCAGAGAGAAAAAGAAUCAUAAUCUCAGGUCUGAAGCUGCAAAAUGUUUUAAAUCAACAGUUACUGAUGUCAGUGCUGCUCAACAUCCUGCUAGCUGCAGUUAUAACACUAACAGUCUGUUCUGGAUGACGGAGCUGGACUUUGUUCCCAGUCCGACCCUGAAGAGCUCAGUCCCUGUUGUUCACUCACCGACCUGCAUCAGAGGGGAAAAGAUCCUGUUUGGAUUCACUGCAGCUCUGUUUUCCUGCAUGAGGACAUUUUUCAUCGUCUUCUCUGAGAGCUGCUCAGGAACUCUGACUGUGAAAUGUUCUUAGACAACGAUACAGAUAAUCUGGACUGAAGUGGACUCAUGCUGCUGUGUGGAUUGUGUGUGUGUUUUCUGGACACUUUGUUGUAACAUCUUCGUGUUAUAUUUUCAUUAACUUUGAGUAUUUGGGAGAGUAAAACAGCACAACGGUCUGGUAAUCCACAUGUUUAUUAUUACAUUGACUUCAGCUGUUGAUGUUUUCUGAUCUGUUAGAAAGAGACUCUGACAGACAGCAGAGUUCACACAGCCACAUAUUCCUUCUUUAACAUUCAGCUGCAGGCUCAGACUCCCAAAACUCAGCUCACUUUUAUGCAAAGUUUGAGAUGAAAUUAUUAGUCGAUUAACUGAUUACACAAUGUACAGACACAUCUAAUGUGAACUAUUUUGUUUGAUACAUGUAAGUAUUUGCUGCUUUUGGUUGGAAUGAAUUUAAUUUUUGUUAAUAAUUAUAGAGAAUUGGACAAAUAAGCAUUGUGAAGAGGAAAUGUGUGAGGAAAAAUAAUCUGAUGAUAGAAUAUUUAAGAGUACAACAGUCACAGGGACAUUUUACUGCUUAAAUCUGCUUCAAGUAGAUUUUCCUGAUUGUACUCUCAUACUUUUACUUCAGUAACUUCUUAAAUGCAGGACUUUUAUUUGAAGCAGAGUAUUUUUUCAGUUUAAUACUUUUACUUUAGUUUUUGUAUACUAGAUCCACAACUGCUUUUCUCAGUCUUAACAAAAGGAAACUAAUGAUCUUGGUUAUUUCUCCUGUAAACAACUUUCUGAUGCUGAACUGAUCUCUGCUGCAGAGACAUGAGGCUGUGAUGUGUCUGUUUCUGGCAGCGUCCACUGUUGGCAGAUAUUUCCAUAAACACAAUAUAAAACUACUGCGUUAAGUAAAAGUUCUGCUGUCAAAAUGUCA
Long non-coding RNA from Micropterus salmoides (largemouth bass), 2298 nucleotides. RefSeq lists it as uncharacterized. NCBI's taxonomy places the organism in Eukaryota, Metazoa, Chordata, Actinopteri, Centrarchiformes, Centrarchidae. The record is from RefSeq and is a predicted model, not a curated record. The transcript is spliced from 4 exons.